RNAcentral lists this ribosomal RNA (253 nucleotides) under uncultured bacterium. RNAcentral describes it as "partial 16S ribosomal RNA". It matches the Rfam family "Bacterial small subunit ribosomal RNA", at positions 524 to 776 of the family's 1533-position model. The record is from RNAcentral.
UACAGAGGGUGCAAGCGUUAAUCGGAAUUACUGGGCGUAAAGCGCGCGUAGGCGGCUGUCUAAGUCGGGUGUGAAAGCCCCGGGCUCAACCUGGGAACUGCAUUCGAUACUGGACGGCUAGAGUAUGAGAGAGGGAGGUAGAAUUCCACGUGUAGCGGUGAAAUGCGUAGAUAUACGGAGGAACACCAGCGGCGAAGGCGGGUAGCUGGGCCAACACUGACGCUGAUGUGCGAAAGCUAGGGUAGCAAACGGG